Molecule: transfer RNA, 103 nt
Filed under: Colletotrichum trifolii
Lineage: Eukaryota; Fungi; Ascomycota; Sordariomycetes; Glomerellales; Glomerellaceae
Also listed under: 1 other name
Rfam family: tRNA
About the family: Transfer RNA (tRNA) molecules are approximately 80 nucleotides in length. Their secondary structure includes four short double-helical elements and three loops (D, anti-codon, and T loops).
Source: Rfam by way of RNAcentral
GUCAAGGUGCCAGAGUGGUUAAUGGGCUGCCCUGCUAUUCAGUUCGUCUGGAAGCUGUCAGGCAGUGGCUUCGGUCGCGCAGGUUCGAAUCCUGUCCUUGACG